RNAcentral lists this long non-coding RNA (67 nucleotides) under Dromaius novaehollandiae (emu). Its description in RNAcentral is "lncRNA (ENSDNVG00000012688.1)". The record is from RNAcentral. Lineage: Eukaryota; Metazoa; Chordata; Aves; Casuariiformes; Dromaiidae.
CACUUAUGCCAAGCCUCAGAAAAGACUGUCAAGAAGAUACUUAUCUUUUGCAUGCUUGAGUAAAGGA